GGAGGUAUGAAAGUAAAUGCGGGGCAAGGGCUUGCGACAUACGGAAGGCCCGAUCAAGGUGGCUACUUCCUCCAUACCUGAAAUUUUUUACGUUUAGGACAUAAUUAUAGUAAUCAAGGAGUGAUUAAUUAGAGAGUAUUUUUUUUCCUUUGCUCUUACUAAAUAGGUCUACGGGUGCAUUAUUUUCAAGAAAGCUUCGUAGUUCAGAUGGAUAGUGUGUGGCGAUGUUAACUAGAAGUCUUCAAUUCAAAGCCUUAUUAUAGGCAACCUUUUUUAUCCGGCCCUUUGAUUUUUGCAUGAGGUGGCGCUUUGAUUUCUGCAUGGGGCUCUAGGCGACUGCGGUUAAUAUGGGAGGUAAUUCCGGCGCUUCGAUUGCUGCGAUUAAUAUGGAGGGAUAAACAUGUCU
RNAcentral lists this long non-coding RNA (406 nucleotides) under Sorghum bicolor (sorghum). RNAcentral's name for it is "long non-coding RNA (SBIC_LNC006221)". Lineage: Eukaryota; Viridiplantae; Streptophyta; Magnoliopsida; Poales; Poaceae. The record is from RNAcentral.